GUGGAUUAGAUACCCUGGUAGUCCACGCCCUAAACGAUGUCAACUAGUUGUUGGGCUUUUCGGAGCUUAGUAACGCAGCUAACGCGUGAAGUUGACCGCCUGGGGAGUACGGUCGCAAGACUAAAACUCAAAGGAAUUGACGGGGGCCCGCACAAGCGGUGGAUGAUGUGGAUUAAUUCGAUGCAACGCGAAAAACCUUACCUGGUCUUGACAUGUACGGAAUCCUUUAGAGAUAGAGGAGUGCCUUCGGGAACCGUAACACAGGUGCUGCACGGCCGUCGCCAGCU
This 287-nucleotide ribosomal RNA is filed under the name uncultured bacterium. Its description in RNAcentral is "partial 16S ribosomal RNA". It matches the Rfam family "Bacterial small subunit ribosomal RNA", at positions 773 to 1060 of the family's 1533-position model. The record is from RNAcentral.